UACGUAGGGGGCGAGCGUUGUCCGGAUUUAUUGGGCGUAAAGAGCGUGUAGGCGGUCAGGUAGGUCUGCUGUGAAAACUCGAGGCUCAACCUCGAGACGUCGGCGGAAACCAUCUGGCUAGAGUCCGGAAGAGGAGAGUGGAAUUCCUGGUGUAGAGGUGAAAUUCGUAGAUAUUCGGAAGAACACCAGUGGCGAAGGCGGCUCACUGGCCCGAUACUGACGCUGAGGUGCGAAAGCGUGGGGAGCAAACAGG
RNAcentral lists this ribosomal RNA (253 nucleotides) under uncultured bacterium. Its description in RNAcentral is "partial 16S ribosomal RNA". It matches the Rfam family "Bacterial small subunit ribosomal RNA", at positions 524 to 776 of the family's 1533-position model. The record is from RNAcentral.